CCUACGGGAGGCUGCAGUGAGGAAUAUUGGUCAAUGGGCUUACGCCUGAACCAGCCAAGUCGCGUGAGGGAAGACUGCCCUAUGGGUUGUAAACCUCUUUUGUCGGGGAGCAAACGACGCCACGCGUGGCGUUCCGAGAGUACCCGACGAAAAAGCAUCGGCUAACUCCGUGCCAGCAGCCGCGGUAAUACGGAGGAUGCGAGCGUUAUCCGGAUUUAUUGGGUUUAAAGGGUGCGCAGGCGGACGAUCAAGUCAGCGGUAAAAUUGAGAGGCUCAACCUCUUCGAGCCGUUGAAACUGGUUGUCUUGAGUGAGAGAGAAGUAGGCGGAAUGCGUGGUGUAGCGGUGAAAUGCUUAGAUAUCACGAAGAACUCCGAUUGCGAAGGCAGCUUACUAAACUGCAACUGACAUUGAUGCUCGAAAGUGUGGGUAUCAAACAGGAUUAGAUACCCGAGUAGUC
RNAcentral lists this ribosomal RNA (459 nucleotides) under uncultured bacterium. RNAcentral's name for it is "partial 16S ribosomal RNA". It matches the Rfam family "Bacterial small subunit ribosomal RNA", at positions 338 to 795 of the family's 1533-position model. The record is from RNAcentral.